UACGUAGGGGGGCAAGCGUUGUCCGGAAUCAUUGGGCGUAAAGCGCGUGUAGGCGGCUUGAUAAGUCUGCUCUGAAAGCCUGGGGCUCAACCCUGGGAGGCGGGUGGAUACUGUCGAGCUCGAGUCCGGAAGAGGCGAGUGGAAUUCCUGGUGUAGCGGUGAAAUGCGCAGAUAUCAGGAGGAACACCAAUGGCGAAGGCAGAUCUCUGGGCAUUAACUGACGCUGAGGAGCGAAAGCAUGGGGAGCGAACAGG
Molecule: ribosomal RNA, 254 nt
Filed under: uncultured bacterium
Lineage: Bacteria
Description: partial 16S ribosomal RNA
Rfam family: Bacterial small subunit ribosomal RNA
Source: RNAcentral